RNAcentral lists this ribosomal RNA (254 nucleotides) under uncultured bacterium. RNAcentral describes it as "partial 16S ribosomal RNA". It matches the Rfam family "Bacterial small subunit ribosomal RNA", at positions 524 to 776 of the family's 1533-position model. The record is from RNAcentral.
CACGUAGGGGGCAAGCGUUGUCCGGAUUUAUUGGGCGUAAAGAGCUCGUAGGUGGUUCGGUAAGUCAGGUGUGAAACCUCCAGGCUCAACCUGGAGACGCCACUUGAUACUGCUGUGACUGGAGUCCGGUAGGGGAGCGUGGAAUUCCUGGUGUAGCGGUGAAAUGCGCAGAUAUCAGGAGGAACACCAGCGGCGAAGGCGGCGCUCUGGGCCGGUACUGACACUGAGGAGCGAAAGCGUGGAUAGCAAACAGG